This is a long non-coding RNA of Prionailurus viverrinus (fishing cat), 4133 nucleotides long. RefSeq lists it as uncharacterized. The record is from RefSeq and is a predicted model, not a curated record. Lineage: Eukaryota; Metazoa; Chordata; Mammalia; Carnivora; Felidae. The transcript has 3 exons.
GCUCAGGCCUGGCGGUUGGGGAGGCGGUUUAGAACGCAUGAGGAAGCUCCUAAGCCGGUAUUUGAAACGGAAACUCAUCGGUUAAAAUAGAAAUACCGGUACGUGGAAAGCUGGAACUUGUCUUUUCGAAGCCACCGUUCCCGUCAUCACCUCUGCCUCUCCGGGUUCCCAUAAUCGUCCUUAUGGACCGCUGGUCGUGUGGUUGCCUGCAGAACGCCUCCUGGACCCCCGGCUGGUUGAACUCCCAAUACCUUGUCAGGCCUCUUAGAGGGACUGUUCAGUGCAGUACUGUGAACAGAACCAUCACAGUGGAGACGCCCAUUGCUGCACACACAUAGGCACCUCCGGCGCGCAGUUUUUCUGGUUAACUCCAAUUACGAGGUCACGACACACAUCUCCAGCUAAUUUAUGCACAGCUCCAAUUCUGUGCAGGGAGGAUGCAAAACGGCAAACUAUCCAUGGUAGGACUUUCUGGAGCAUCAAUUCUAUAAGAUUUGGAAGAAAUGAAGUCAUUUCCAAGAAGCAUCUCCCAUCCCUGAUAAACACAGAAGACGAGAGAAAAGAGUAGGAGGGAAGAAGUACCCCAGGACAACAGUCCAGUCUCUGAAGAUUCACCCAGGUUGGGACAGAGGACCUGCCUGAAGCCAGGACCAGCCUCUCCUCUUAUCUCCCCGGUGGCACCCAGCCAUCCUUUAAGUUCACCAUUAUUUUUUGAUUCAGUGCUUUUUGAAUGCUGUGGAAGCACAGGUACUCCCUUGAUUUGAAUCCCAUGCAGGCCACCUUGGCAGUCUGCACCUGCCAUCCUUCCCUGCCCGUGGUCCUCGGUGUCCCCACAUACAAGCCGUAAGCUCCUUGCACCACUCCCGUCCCCACGGCUGUCUGUGUCAGCCCUGGCCCACCUCCCACACCUGCUGCUGGGCUCUGUGGAGCUCAGGAUCUUCUUGCUGCCCAUAUGAAAACAGUCUUUGGUUUUGUCCCUUCUUUGGCUAUCCACCAUGUGAGCUUUCAUUGGCUUCAUUGUGGUUUAAGGGCCACAUCAGUUCUUUCCAGGUGGCCUGAAACACGGGAUCUGCCUGAGUAAGAAGUUGAAGAAGCUCCCAGCAGCCCAGUCAGCCUUGGGGGGGUGCCAGAGGGAGAGGCUGGGGUCCUAUCACCGAGCCACACAGCAUGGAGGGAGUUGCCAGUUGUAGGACAAACCCUGGGGGCAGCUGGUUCCGUGUGGGGCAUCACCACUGCUGCUGAUGCUGUGGGUGGAGGGGAGGCCCCAGGGUCACACUGGGGACUGUGCUGGGGAAAGGGAUGGUCCUUGUGUCUUGGUGGGGGACUGGCAGGCACUUUGGUUGGGCUGCUGGCCUUCCACUGACUCCCGGUGCUCCCCAGGCCGCUGACUUUCUGAGUUACAGGACACAGCAGAGGUGGGCAGGCCCACCGAAACCAGGCUCCUCCAGGUUGGCAGAGACCCUGGGCUGAAGCCUGUGGGAGCGGGAAGGACAGCAACUAUUGGCAGGAUCAGCUGAAGGCAGAGGCUUCGCAGCAAUGGUCCACCCUCCACCUUGGGGCUCUUGCAGCCUAGGAUCAGGUAGUUGGCCAUCACUUCCUCUUAAUUCUGGCCCAUCAGCAGGUCCCAGAUCUGGUCCCACUCAUAGCCCACAGAUAAUGUCACCUCAGUUCUGCCAGGGAUCCUUGUAGUCAGGGAGUGGCUCACUGUAAGGCUUUAGUAGUUCUGCUUCACGGGCCAUGGUCAUCCAUGGGUCCUUCAUGGUUUCCUCUAAAGCGCUUCUCUCACUGGGACUGAGGGGCAGGAAUCUCUCUAGUAGGUCUCCCACGCUCCACAGACGUGGAAAGGGGAACGUGGCAUAUCCUGCUCAGCACCCACUCCCACAGCUCCCUGAAGUCCUGCCAAGGCAGGGACCUGCUGGUCACUGGACAGUCAUUGUAUAGAGGAUGGCUCCAGGCUCCACCCAUCUCCUAUGAGACUGUUGUACUCUUGGUAUAAGGGGGACUGCCACAGAAGGGGGUCAGCUUAUGGCCGGCAGUGAACUCAUUGCUGAAUCCAGAGUAUGCGACCUUGAUGUUCGGGUCAGAUUCCAAAAGCAGGCUCUCUGGCUUUAGGUCCCUGUGGAUGAUACCUUCCUGGUGGUGGUACUACACAGUGGACGCUAUCUGGCAGAAUCUGCCUCGGGGCUCCCCCUUUCUCAUGCAGGCAUAGCGCAUUCAAACACCUGUCCUUCGCUAGUGGACUCCGUGACCGGGUCGCCUGCUUCCAUGGUGCCAGUGACCUCAAGCAGUUUCACGACUCGGGGGUUGUGAUUCAGGGCCUUCAUGCUCUGGACUUCAAGGAAUAGUCUCUGGAGGCUGGAGGAGCCCUGCUGACUCUUGUUAAUGACCUUCAUGGACGCCUCUGUCCCACUCGGGCUGUGCCAGACCAACCCCACCUGGGCAAAGCUGCCCUGGCCAACGGUCCUGAGGAGCCGGUGGUGGUUACUGUGGCUCUCCCGGUCACGGGAUGGCCACAAGGCCCCGCAGCUCAGUGACUCACUUGCUAGGAAUGCUAACUAAAAGUGCCCCCUAACAGUACUAACAAACUAAAUAAAGAUGGGAAAGAACAGAAAAAAUGAGAAAAGAGAGGGAAAAAGCAAAACUGUGGCCAAAAGUCCCUCAGGUCCCCAGACACCAGCUUCCUGGCCUAAAAAAACCAAAACAUGUAGGCCUGGCCAAGGGCUAAUACAGAGAGGUGCUUAGGAUUUUCUCUCGAUGGCUCUUCUUGAGAUCAGUGCAAGAAAUGCACCUGUAAGGCUGGGGAUAAUUCACAGUGGUUUUCCCACUUGGUUCUCAGGCACCCUUUACUCUUAAAAGCGCGGGGGAGGGAUGCCCCCAGAGGCUUUUUUGUUUACGUGUCUUAUAGUGAUUGAUACAUACCUUACUAGAAAUUAAAACCUGAAGGAUGCUUCAGUAGCCUUUUCAUGUCUAGUUUGGGAAUCUGUAAUAAUUUUUGAUGUUUAAAGAAAGCCAUGAUAUCUAUACUUAGAAUAAUUCAAUUCCUUUUUCUUUAAACUCUGGAUGAUCGGUCUCAAAAUGAUACCACAAUUUAACUGGCUUCACAAUAGCCAAUGACAAAGACUCUCCCUGACUGAACUUGAGUCGUUCUCCUCUAGGUCUGGACCUUGCAGCCUGCCCUUGUCUGGCCUGCAUCACCCAGUUGUAGCAAGAACCUUGCCAAGUCAGUUUAAAGAGAACUCCCCACCCUCAAUAUCUCAUAACAUUCUUCACACACACACCCCACCUUUGGUGUCUGUGAAAUAAUAGAAAAUAUAUAUUGGUCUCUGUCCCUGGUUCUUGGCACAGGCUGCUGAAAGCCUUCUAAUUUCCUAAGUGUUAAGACACUAGGAGCAUCUCGUUUUCUAAUAUUUGGUCUUUAACCCCAGUUCCUGAUUCAGGGCUCCUAAAUUCCUUGGAAUAUCCUGGGUGGUAGGAAUGUCUUGUUCUAAUGAGGCAACUCUGGAUGGGCUCCUGGAUGACUCCCGGAGGGGAGUCUUUCUGACUGUUAGCAAAAGGCCAAGCCAUGAUUAGAAGCUUGGAAUUUUCAGCUCCAUACCCCCUCCCCAAUCCUCCAGAAAGGGGAAAGGGGCUGGAAGUGGAGUUAAUGAUCUGUCAUGCCUACGUGAGGAAGCCUCCAUAAAAAUCCCAACAGUAUGGGGUUCAGAGAGUUUCCAUAUGGGUGAACACAUCCACACUGGGAGCGUGAUGUACCCCAACUCCAUGGGGACAGAAGUUCCUGUGCUCGGGACCCUCCCACACCUCACUCCAUGUAUCUCUUCAUCUAACUGAUCGUGUAUCCUUUAUCACAUCCUUUAAUAAGUGUAAGCGGAAGUGACUGGGUUUUCCUUUGUAUGGCAUCUGACCACCCUGGCCUGCCCACAGCAAGAAUCCUGUUAGAUCUGUUUAACUAGAAUCCUGCCAUCCCUGAGGUUUCCUUAGUAGUUUUCCAUCUACUGACCCCAACCCUGCUCCUUGGCUAUAAACCCCCACUUUGUGCUCUACUGGGGAUGGGUUCCAGUUCUAUACUGAGGCCUCUUUUUCCCCCUAUUGCGGUAAUUCCUGAAUUAAACUUGCUUUUACUGCUUUAACUACUA